Non-coding RNA from Gossypium raimondii (Peruvian cotton), 144 nucleotides. The record is from Rfam. NCBI's taxonomy places the organism in Eukaryota, Viridiplantae, Streptophyta, Magnoliopsida, Malvales, Malvaceae.
UAUUAAAAAUUUUAUCCAUUUUUACAGUUAAAAAGUAGCGUAACUAACAUUAUAACCAGAAAGUUACACAUGACAUCUCACGUGGAUCUCAUGCUGACAUACAUAAAUCAGUUUUUAACAAUAAAAUGAAUGAAAUUUUUAACA